Micropterus dolomieu (smallmouth bass) is the source of this 387-nucleotide long non-coding RNA. RefSeq lists it as uncharacterized. The transcript has 3 exons. The record is from RefSeq and is a predicted model, not a curated record. Lineage: Eukaryota; Metazoa; Chordata; Actinopteri; Centrarchiformes; Centrarchidae.
CUGAUACUGAAGCGUCAAUGUCUUCUGUCUCCGAUGUGGUCUAAUGAGCACAAUGAUCUGAUAUGUCUUUUCUGCCUCAGCCACCAGAGCACCAUGUUUCCCUCACAAAUGUUUGCAUGUCAGGGCAUCAGUGAGUAAUAUAAAGGCAUUCAGGAUAGUGGAGCAAAUUCGAUCAGAAUCAAGUAAUGAUGAAUGGCUGCCAGAAAUAGGAGAAUCACCAAAUGCUAGCAGCAGUGAUAGUGGAGCUGAGGAUGCUGAGGAAGAGAGAGUCUGAGAAUUCCGACGUGAGUUUAAAUUUUUCUGCAUUGCAUUAAACAGUAUUAGAAUAUGUUAAAAUAUGUGACCACAUUAGUUUAACAGCAUUAAAAAUAUAGUUUUCACAUACUA